UUACGGCCACAUCACGUUAAAACUUCUGUUCCCAUACGAUCACCGAAGUUAAGCAACGUUGAGCCUGGUCAGUACGUAGAUAGGUGAACGCUUCGGAAUACCAUGUGCUGUAAG
This is a non-coding RNA of Acanthosepion pharaonis, 114 nucleotides long. The record is from the annotation of a GenBank genome assembly. NCBI's taxonomy places the organism in Eukaryota, Metazoa, Mollusca, Cephalopoda, Sepiida, Sepiidae.